GCUUAUCACCAUUCCAGAUUGAAUAUACCCGAUCUCGUCAGUUCUCGGAAGUCAAGCAAUCUCGGGCUGGGUUAGUACUUGGAUGGGUGACCGCUUGGGACAUACCAAGUGUGAUAAGCA
Non-coding RNA from Ciona savignyi (Pacific transparent sea squirt), 120 nucleotides. The record is from Rfam. Lineage: Eukaryota; Metazoa; Chordata; Ascidiacea; Phlebobranchia; Cionidae.